CUGUCUCUAUAUAAUUAUUAAUUUAAUUUAAUUUUUAAGUCAAAAAGCUUAAAUUUUUUUAAAGGACGAGAAGACCCUAUAGAGUUUUACAACUUAAAAUCAUAUUAGUAUAAUUUAUCUUCUUUAUUAAUAUAUUAAGUUGUUUUAUUGGGGUGAUAGUAAAAUUUAAUAAACUUUUUUAAUUAUAUAAACAUUAAUUAAUGAAUUUUUGAUCCUAUUAUUUAGAUUAUUAGAUUAAAUUACCUUAGGGA
This 251-nucleotide ribosomal RNA is filed under the name Strongylogaster empriaeformis. Its description in RNAcentral is "partial 16S ribosomal RNA". The record is from RNAcentral. Lineage: Eukaryota; Metazoa; Arthropoda; Insecta; Hymenoptera; Tenthredinidae.